AGAUCUCAUCCUCAUCCAGCUAGCACCGUUAAAGGAUGCAGAACAUCCUUCAUAAAGUCCUGACAGGAGGAAGAGGAGGAGCUUUCUAAUGGGUCCAGUGAAGGUAAUGGCAUUAUCUGCAGAGAGGUGGAGCAUCAUUGGUGAUAGAUGGAGAAAAUACUGGAGAUGGAAGAAGAAGAAACAGUAAGGACUGGGAUGUUUGUCUGAGAAGAUUUAUUAUUAAGAGAAAAGAGGUGAAACAUGAAGAAGCACCAGCCCUCCCUCCUCAUGCUGAUUCCCUGUGAGCGGCCUCCUGAUGUGGACCCAGUCAGUCCCAUACGUGCAGCUGGAGGAAAACACGCUGAUUAAUUCAAAGGAUUUCUUGUAAAUCGGUCGACCCCGGGUCGCCGCCAAAAAGCCCCGUCUCUGCGUGCUGCCCUGCAGGAUACGCCAAGCUCGUUAAUUAAACGACCACUUUAAUUAAGAGGUCAGCGCUAAUCUGGCCUUGUUUUGGUAAAACGCUGUGAAAGGACGGGGAUUUCUGUAAUGUGCAUGCUUAAUGGGAAAAUACAAAAAAGCUGAUUUGCAGGUUUUUCAAUUAUGAGGAAAAGUCAUGAAAGCUCGGUUUGUGCAAAAACAGAAGCAUUAACGUCACAAAAUAUCUGAUUUCAGUUGAUAAAGUUAAUCAUGACUUUGAUUUUUAUUCACCUUAAAUUAACCAAGAAUGAAUGAAGAGAUUCUUAAUCUCAGUCUUUAGCUUUCUGUCCUCCUGUCGCCGUACUCUGGGCCUCGCUCCACCUCCAUGUCCUGCUGCUAUCCUUCCACCUGCAAACACACACGCACGCACGCCCUGUAAAUGUGUGUCGAGCCACAUUCCUGCACUCUCUCCUCAGGCCCUCCCCUCCCUCUCACGUCCCCGGGCCUCAUUCUUCUCCUCCAGGUAAAUAUUGAUCCUCUAAAUUACUUCUCAAGGUCGUCAGUGGCGAGUGGCACAGCGUCACGAUAAGCCUCGCAGCUGUCGGCUGGCGUCACAGGCUGACGGCUCCCGGGGUGAAUGCCAAAGUCUUCGCCGUUGAUACAAAUGUCAAGUCUCAGAAGGAAAGGGUAGCGCUACAGGUGGGAGGGCAUCUGUCGAGGGGCAGAUACUGGGUCUGUACUUAAGUCUGGCGUGUCUCCCGUGUUGUCUCACACCAGGAAACCAUCUCCGGACCGCACACGUCUAUUAAACGAGCUCCGAGGCGCAGCUCGUGUUUUCAUCGACAUUUUAUAGAGCUGUUAAACACGGCCACAAACACCCAGGUGUCCCGCUGGAUUUCACUGCGCUUUAUUGUUCGGUAUCUGCCUCAGGCACCCAUUAAAAAUACAACAGAAGACACGCAGGGCAUAAAUACAUAAGCACAUAAAAUAUAUAGCAAUGAUCACAGGGUGCGAGGAUGAUCUGGGGGUGGGAAUAUUUUUAUUUUAGCGUCUAAACAAAGGCCUGAAACUUCCUGAUUAUUUUAAUUGUGACUGAUCUGCACAUUAUCUCCUUGAUUAAUUGUUGGGUCAUCAAAAACCAUCAAGCGGCUUGAUGUUAAACCCUCUCGUGCAAAAUCAGAACCAUAAUUAGGAUAAAAUACGAAGUGAAAAGGAGGGAUUGAAGCCAGGCCAGAUUUAGAAUCGCUCACAUCUGUGCAAGCAAAACAUGCUCCAACGAAAUGAUCGUAUCUUCUGUUCACUCCCAUGUUGGAGCUCAAGAACCACAUACAGAAGUGUGCUCAUUUCUAAAGUCUGUGUCUGGAGUGUAGACGUCGGAAAUAUAGAUAUAACUGGCUCUGAAGAAGCGCUUUAACCUGCAUUCUUUUCAAUGGCCAGCAGGGGGCAACAACUCGUGAUGGAUGAGUGUGGGAGUUUUAUUAUUCUUUGGCUAACUGAUAAAAGAACUCAUAUUUACCGUGUAUGUAAACUGUAUUUUGUUAUACUUAGUGUUUUGCGGCAUUAAAUUAUAAACACAGCACUUUAAAUAAAAUUCAGCGUGAAUUUAGACGAGACGUUUACCAGUCUGACGAUCACAGAGUCAUGUCUUGAACUAGUUCUGCGAUUUACUUUACUGUCUUUGAACUUGAGCUGAUGACUGGAAUCGCCCCCAAAAAUGUAUUUUGAUCUUCAGUUUAUGUCAAUGUGAUUCACUUCUUGUGUCUGAUUUAGUUUCCAGACAAGCCUGGAAAUGUGCAAACGAAGAACUUCCCAGGUCAGGUACUGCUCUCUGACCUGCACACACUGCUGUUACGUACGCUUCAACAUUAUAAGUCAGCCAGCUUCACUUGGUUUUGAUCAGACUUUUCUGUGGACAGGUGGACCUCGUCCCUUUAGGCAGACAUGAGAUAACCUGCUGACAUUUAAGCAGCUGUGAAUGUUUGUUGGUUUGUUGCCAUUUAGAUUUACUGAGACGGUCAUAAAAGAGAAAAUAUCCAGCGAGCGGCAGUUCUCUGGGAGAAGAUGCCUUGUUGGUGAUGCCAAAGGUCAGAGGAGAAUAGCCAGACUGCCAACAGUAACUCAAAUACUCAUUUCUUACGAAUGAGUUUCGGGAAGUGACAGGAAGUCAGCCAUGUUUUUUUAGUUCCUAGCGGAUCACAUGUGGGGAAAUUUGAUCCAGCGACAUCUGCCUUUUGUUUGUGCCAUCGACGCCACCGUCUUUUUACUCCAUGAGGAAAUACUUACUAAUUAAAAGGAGUUGGACGCUACAUCCUGACUUCGCGCGUUAUUUCAAGUGGAGUUAGGCUACUGCUGAAUUGUGUAGCAUACACACACAAGGAGAGCAGGAUAGUAAAAAGACGGUUAGCAGCUGGCAAAAAAACUCUACGACAGCAAGCUAUGUCAA
Oreochromis aureus is the source of this 2839-nucleotide long non-coding RNA. RefSeq lists it as uncharacterized. The transcript is spliced from 3 exons. The record is from RefSeq and is a predicted model, not a curated record. NCBI's taxonomy places the organism in Eukaryota, Metazoa, Chordata, Actinopteri, Cichliformes, Cichlidae.